RNAcentral lists this ribosomal RNA (433 nucleotides) under uncultured bacterium. RNAcentral describes it as "partial 16S ribosomal RNA". It matches the Rfam family "Bacterial small subunit ribosomal RNA", at positions 29 to 507 of the family's 1533-position model. The record is from RNAcentral.
AACGAACGCUGGCGGCAUGCCUAACACAUGCAAGUCGAACGAGACCUUCGGGUCUAGUGGCGCACGGGUGCGUAACGCGUGGGAACCUGCCCUUAGGUUCGGAAUAACUCCCCGAAAGGGGUGCUAAUACCGGAUAAUGUCUUCGGACCAAAGAUUUAUCGCCUUUGGAUGGGCCCGCGUUGGAUUAGCUAGUUGGUAGGGUAAAAGCCUACCAAGGCGACGAUCCAUAGCUGGUCUGAGAGGAUGAUCAGCCACACUGGGACUGAAACACGGCCCAGACUCCUACGGGAAGCAGCAGUGGGGAAUAUUGGACAAUGGGCGAAAGCCUGAUCCAGCAAUGCCGCGUGAGUGAUGAAGGCCUUAGGGUUGUAAAGCUCUUUUACCCGGGAUGAUAAUGACAGUACCGGGAGAAUAAGCUCCGGCUAACUCCGUG